GCGCUGUUGAGGGAGUCGGGCCGCGACUGUGGUCGUUUUUAUACCUUCCCGCGCGGACGCCGGCGCUGCCAACGGAAGGGCGGGUAGGGCGGUGCGUGAUUAGGUUGGCGAAGGCUCUGCUGCCAUGAAGGUGAAGAUUAAGUGCUGGAACGGCGUGGCCACUUGGCUCUGGGUGGCCAACGAUGAGAACUGUGGCAUCUGCAGGAUGGCAUUUAACGGAUGCUGCCCUGACUGUGAGUGCCCGGCGACGACUGCCCGCUGGUGUGGGGCCAGUGCUCCCACUGCUUCCACAUGCAUUGCAUCCUCAAGUGGCUGCACGCACAGCAGGUGCAGCAGCACUGCCCCAUGUGCCGCCAGGAAUGGAAGUUCAAGGAGUGAGGCCCGACCUGGCUCUCGCUGGAGGGGCAUCCUGAGACUCCUUCCUCAUGCUGGCGCCGAUGGCUGCUGGGGACAGCGCCCCUGAGCUGCAACAAGGUGGAAACAAGGGCUGGAGCUGCGUUUGUUUUGCCAUCACUAUGUUGACACUUUUAUCCAAUAAGUGAAAACUCAUUAAACUACUCAAAUC
RNAcentral lists this long non-coding RNA (565 nucleotides) under Homo sapiens (human). RNAcentral's name for it is "long non-coding RNA NONHSAT175763.1". The record is from RNAcentral. Lineage: Eukaryota; Metazoa; Chordata; Mammalia; Primates; Hominidae.